GACAGAGGUGCCGAGCGUUAGGCGGAAUCACUGGGCUUAAAGCGUGUGUAGGCGGACUUCUAAGUACCUUGUGAAAUCCCACGGCUCAACCGUGGAACUGCUUGGUAUACUGGUCGUCUUGAGCCACCUAGGGGCAACCGGAACAAACGGUGGAGCGGUGAAAUGCGUAGAUAUCGUUUGGAACGCCAAUUGUGAAAACAGGUUGCUGGGGGUGUGCUGACGCUGAGACACGAAAGCCAGGGGAGCAAACGGG
This 253-nucleotide ribosomal RNA is filed under the name uncultured bacterium. Its description in RNAcentral is "partial 16S ribosomal RNA". It matches the Rfam family "Bacterial small subunit ribosomal RNA", at positions 524 to 776 of the family's 1533-position model. The record is from RNAcentral.